Oryctolagus cuniculus (rabbit) is the source of this 1063-nucleotide non-coding RNA. The record is from RefSeq and is a predicted model, not a curated record. NCBI's taxonomy places the organism in Eukaryota, Metazoa, Chordata, Mammalia, Lagomorpha, Leporidae.
UGCAGCGCGCAGCUCAGAUCCCGCCGGCUCCAGUGCGGAAGGCAGACCCGGCUCACCAUCACACACUUGCCCUCUUUACUUCUCCCCUUCUCGGCGCCUAAGCAAAUCCAUCAGCACGAAGUGGGACCGCCCCUUCGAAACCCCAAAGGCCGGAAGCCAGAAGAGGCUGGGUCAAGGCGCAGGGGGUUGCGGGGAACACAGUGUCGGGAGCCGCAUCCCACCCACUCCAGGGUCUGAAACUCGCAAAGCUGCAGACCCCAGCAUUUGAAGCAGUCUUGCUACGGGGUUCCCGGGAGCUAUAAGUAGAGGGCGCUCACAUGUCAAAAGGGGGCUACGGGGGUGGGACCCUGAACUCGCGGUUAGGACGCUCGCAUCCUGUGCCAGAGUGCCUGGGUCCGAGUCCAGCUCCCACCCGAUGCCAGGAGGCAGCAGGCGAUGGCUCGUGUGCUUGGGUCCCUGCCACCCACGUGCCAGUCCCGAGGGAGCUCCUGGCUCCGGCUCGGCCCAGCCCUGGCUGCUGCCGGCAUCUGGGGAGUGAAGCUGAGGAUGGGAGAGCUCUGCCUCUCAGGAAUUCCUCGGUCCAAUAGAGAGGAAGCAACCUUUGGUCCCUGAAGACAUUCCCAGGACUCACUUUGUGCUGUUUUGAGUUGCGAUGGCCACUGCCAUCGUGUUGCUGGUGUCUGAUUGAUUGAUGGUCGACUACAGUUUUCCUCAUGGCUUGGCUCACUUGUAUGCUAAGUGCCAGGAUAACAAUGCCUUGCUCAGAUCGGCACCGUUGGUUUUGUCAGCUCGCCAAAGUAUUUAAUCCUGUCUUGAACGAGAGCCACGAACAUGUUCUCUGGGAACAAGCAGACCCCUGCCCAUCUGAGGCCUCUUACCUGGGGGUGAAUGUGGAGGCUGUAUUAUCAAAAUAUUGUCUGUGAUUCCCUGAAAAUAUACUGUAAGAGUUGGGGUUAUUUUUGCCUACCUCUUUUCCAUUUGAUUGAAUGACACGUGUUCCAGUAUAUUUUACAGCAAUUAGGGUUUCCUUCUUACAAUAAAAUUUCCUACUGUUUGAACAUUA